CCACGAGAGAGUCACCCCUUAUAUUUGUAAUAUCUUCCCUUCCGUUCCUGAACUGCGGAGGGAUCAUUACACAAAUAUGAAGGCGGGCUGGAACUCUCGGGGUUACAGCCUUGCUGAAUUAUUCACCCUUGUCUUUUGCGUACUUCUUGUUUCCUUGUGGGUUCGCCCACCACUUAGGAUGUGAAUAACCUUUUGUAAUUGCAAUCAGCGUCAGUAACAAAUUAAUAAUUAUGACUUUCAACAACGGAUCUCUUGGUUCUGGCAUCGAUGAAGAACGCAGCGAAAUGCGAUAAGUAGUGUGAAUUGCAGAAUUCAGUGAAUCAUCGAAUCUUUGAACGCACAUUGCCCUUUGGUAUUCCAAAGGGCAUGACUGUUCGAGCGUCAUUUGUAAUGCUCAGUUUGCUUGGUGUUGGGCGUCUUGUCUCUAGUUUGUUGGAGACUCGCCUUAAAGUAAUUGGCAGCCGGCCUACUGGUUUCGGAGGCAGCACAAGUCGCACUCUCUAUCAGCAAAGGUCUAGCAUCCAUAAAGCCUUUUUUUCAACUUUUGGGACUCGGAUCAGGUAGGAGCCCGCUUAGUGGUCUUGUUU
RNAcentral lists this ribosomal RNA (587 nucleotides) under uncultured fungus. Its description in RNAcentral is "eukaryotic LSU rRNA". The stretch from base 233 to 384 matches the Rfam family "5.8S ribosomal RNA". The record is from RNAcentral. Lineage: Eukaryota; Fungi.